Molecule: unclassified non-coding RNA, 382 nt
Filed under: uncultured bacterium
Lineage: Bacteria
Description: contains 16S-23S intergenic spacer region
Source: RNAcentral
UCCCCGUUAUCCUGGGCAGUCCUUCCAGAGUUCCCGGCAUGACCCGUUGGCAACUGGAAGCAGGGGGUGCGCUCGUUGCGGGACUUAACCCAACAUCUCACGACACGAGCUGACGACAGCCAUGCAGCACCUGUGCAAGCUGGUCUUGCGACCUCGUCACCCUUUCAGGCUUCUACUACUUGCGUGUCAAGGCCAGGUAAGGUUCUUCGCGUUGCAUCGAAUUGAGCCACAUACUCCACCGCUUGUGCAGGCCCCCGUCAAUUCCUUUGAGUUUUAGUCUUGCGACCGUACUCCCCAGGCGGAGUGCUUAACGCGUUAGCUUCGGCACCACGAGGGUCAAAGCCCGUGACACCUAGCACUCAUCGUUUACGGCGUGGACUAC